GACGAACGCUGGCGGCGUGCUUAACACAUGCAAGUCGAACGGCAAGGCCCUGUUUUUGUGGGUUUCUCUAGUGGCGAACGCGUGAGUAACACGUGAGUAUCCUGCCCUUGACUUUGGGAUAACUUCCGGAAACUGGGGCUAAUACCGGAUAGGAGCUCCUGCUGCAUGGUGUGGGUUGGAAAGUUUCGGCGGUUGGGGAUGGACUCGCGGCUUAUCCGCUUGUUGGUGGGGUAGUUGCUUACCAAGGCUUUGACGGGUAGCUGGCCUGAGAGGGUGACCGGCCAAAUUGGGACUGAGAUACGGCACGGAGUCCUAAGGGAGGCAGCAGUAGGGAAGAUUGCACAAUGGGCGGAAGCCUGAUGAAGCAACGCCGCGUGAGGGAUGACGGACUUCGGGUUGUAAACCGCUUUCGCAUGUGACGAAGCGUGAGUGAAGGUAAUGGAUAAAGAAGCACCGGCUAACUACGUG
RNAcentral lists this ribosomal RNA (468 nucleotides) under uncultured bacterium. Its description in RNAcentral is "partial 16S ribosomal RNA". It matches the Rfam family "Bacterial small subunit ribosomal RNA", at positions 28 to 507 of the family's 1533-position model. The record is from RNAcentral.